CCUACGGGGGGCAGCAGUGGGGAAUAUUGCACAAUGGGGGAAACCCUGAUGCAGCGACGCCGCGUGAGUGAAGAAGUAUUUCGGUACGUAAAGCUCUAUCAGCCGGGAAGAAAAUGACGGUACCUGACUAAGAAGCCCCGGCUAACUACGUGCCAGCAGCCGCUGUAAUACGGAGGGGGCAAGCGUUAUCCGGAUUUACUGGGUGUAAAGGGAGCGUAGACGGCAGCGCAAGUCUGGAGUGAAAUCCCAUGGCUUAACCAUGGAACUGCUUUGGAAACUGUGCAGCUAGAGUGCAGGAGAGGUAAGCGGAAUUCCUGGUGUAGCGGUGAAAUGCGUAGAUAUUAGGAAGAACACCAGUGGCGAAGGCAGCUUACUGGACUGUAACUGACGUUGAGGCUCGAAAGCGUGGGGAGCAAACAGGAUUAGAUACCCGAGUAGUC
This 440-nucleotide ribosomal RNA is filed under the name uncultured bacterium. RNAcentral's name for it is "partial 16S ribosomal RNA". It matches the Rfam family "Bacterial small subunit ribosomal RNA", at positions 338 to 795 of the family's 1533-position model. The record is from RNAcentral.